Molecule: ribosomal RNA, 254 nt
Filed under: uncultured bacterium
Lineage: Bacteria
Description: partial 16S ribosomal RNA
Rfam family: Bacterial small subunit ribosomal RNA
Source: RNAcentral
UACGGGGGGGGCAAGCGUUGUUCGGAAUUACUGGGCGUAAAGGGCUCGUAGGCGGCCAACUAAGUCAGACGUGAAAUCCCUCGGCUUUACCGGGGAACUGCGUCUGAUACUGGAUGGCUUGAGUUUGGGAGAGGGAUGCGGAAUUCCAGGUGUAGCGGUGAAAUGCGUAGAUAUCUGGAGGAACACCGGUGGCGAAGGCGGCAUCCUGGACCAACACUGACGCUGAGUGAGCGAAAGCCAGGGGAGCAAACGGG